CAACGGAACAAUUUUUACUUUAGUGGCGGACGGGUGAGUAACGCGUGGGUAACCUGCCUUAUACAGGGGGAUAACACUUAGAAAUAGGUGCUAAGACCGCAUAAGCGCCCAGGGCCGCAUGGCCCAGGGUGAAAAACUCCGGUGGUAUAAGAUGGGCCCGCGUCUGAUUAGCCAGUUGGCAGGGUAACGGCCUACCAAAGCGACGAUCAGUAGCCGGCCUGAGAGGGUGGACGGCCACAUUGGGACUGAGACACGGCCCAAACUCCUACGGGAGGCAGCAG
Molecule: ribosomal RNA, 281 nt
Filed under: uncultured bacterium
Lineage: Bacteria
Description: partial 16S ribosomal RNA
Rfam family: Bacterial small subunit ribosomal RNA
Source: RNAcentral